RNAcentral lists this ribosomal RNA (301 nucleotides) under uncultured bacterium. Its description in RNAcentral is "partial 16S ribosomal RNA". It matches the Rfam family "Bacterial small subunit ribosomal RNA", at positions 509 to 807 of the family's 1533-position model. The record is from RNAcentral.
CAGUCGCCACGGUAAUGCGUAGGUGGCAAGCGUUGUCCGGAAUUAUUGGGCGUAAAGGGCUCGCAGGCGGUUUCUUAAGUCUGAUGUGAAAGCCCCCGGCUCAACCGGGGAGGGUCAUUGGAAACUGGGAAACUUGAGUGCAGAAGAGGAGAGUGGAAUUCCACGUGUAGCGGUGAAAUGCGUAGAGAUGUGGAGGAACACCAGUGGCGAAGGCGACUCUCUGGUCUGUAACUGACGCUGAGGAGCGAAAGCGUGGGGAGCGAACAGGAUUAGAUACCCCGGUAGUCCCUGUCUCUUAUAC